RNAcentral lists this ribosomal RNA (677 nucleotides) under uncultured bacterium. RNAcentral's name for it is "bacterial SSU rRNA". It matches the Rfam family "Bacterial small subunit ribosomal RNA", at positions 60 to 738 of the family's 1533-position model. The record is from RNAcentral.
AGUCGAGCGAGCGGUUUCAAUGAAGUUUUCGGAUGGAUUUGAAAUUGACUUAGCGGCGGACGGGUGAGUAACGCGUGGGUAACCUGCCUUACACUGGGGGAUAACAGUUAGAAAUGACUGCUAAUACCGCAUAAGCGCACAGGGCCGCAUGGUCUGGUGUGAAAAACUCCGGUGGUGUAAGAUGGACCCGCGUCUGAUUAGGUAGUUGGUGGGGUAACGGCCCACCAAGCCGACGAUCAGUAGCCGACCUGAGAGGGUGACCGGCCACAUUGGGACUGAGACACGGCCCAAACUCCUACGGGAGGCAGCAGUGGGGAAUAUUGGACAAUGGGCGAAAGCCUGAUCCAGCGACGCCGCGUGAGUGAAGAAGUAUUUCGGUAUGUAAAGCUCUAUCAGCAGGGAAGAAAAUGACGGUACCUGACUAAGAAGCCCCGGCUAACUACGUGCCAGCAGCCGCGGUAAUACGUAGGGGGCAAGCGUUAUCCGGAUUUACUGGGUGUAAAGGGAGCGUAGACGGUUAAGCAAGUCUGAAGUGAAAGCCCGGGGCUCAACCCCGGUACUGCUUUGGAAACUGUUUGACUUGAGUGCAGGAGAGGUAAGUGGAAUUCCUAGUGUAGCGGUGAAAUGCGUAGAUAUUAGGAGGAACACCAGUGGCGAAGGCGGCUUACUGGACUGUA